Molecule: ribosomal RNA, 468 nt
Filed under: uncultured bacterium
Lineage: Bacteria
Description: partial 16S ribosomal RNA
Rfam family: Bacterial small subunit ribosomal RNA
Source: RNAcentral
GACGAACGCUGGCGGCGUGCUUAACACAUGCAAGUCGAACGGAAAGGCCCUGCUUUUGUGGGGUGCUCGAGUGGCGAACGGGUGAGUAACACGUGAGUAACCUGCCCUUGACUUUGGGAUAACUUCAGGAAACUGGGGCUAAUACCGGAUAGGAGCUCCUGCUGCAUGGUGGGGGUUGGAAAGUUUCGGCGGUUGGGGAUGGACUCGCGGCUUAUCAGCUUGUUGGUGGGGUAGUGGCUUACCAAGGCUUUGACGGGUAGCCGGCCUGGGAGGGUGACCGGCCACAUUGGGACUGAGAUACGGACCAGACUCCUACGGGAGGCAGCAGUGGGGAAUAUUGCACAAUGGGCGGAAGCCUGAUGCAGCAGCGCCGCGUGCGGGAUGACGGCCUUCGGGUUGUAAACCGCUUUCGCCUGUGACGAAGCGUGAGUGACGGUAAUGGGUAAAGAAGCACCGGCUAACUACGUG